GAUGAACGCUGGCGGCGUGCCUAAUACAUGCAAGUCGAGCGAACAGACGAGGAGCUUGCUCCUCUGACGUUAGCGGCGGACGGGUGAGUAACAAGUGGACAACCUUCCUAUUAGACUGGGAUAACUUCGGGAAACCGGUGAUAAUACCGGAUAAUAUAUUGAACCGCAUGGUUCAAUAGUUAAACACAGUUUUGCUGUCUCUUAUAGAUGGAUCCGCGCCGCAUUAGCUAGUUGGUAAGGUAACGGCUGACCAAGGCUACGAUGCGUAGCCGACCUGAGAGGGUGAUCAGCCACACUGGAACUGAGACACGGUCCAGACUCCUACGGGAGGCAGCAGUAGGGAAUCUUCCACAAUGGGCGAAAGCCUGACGGAGCAACGCCGCGUGAGUGAUGAAGGUCUUCGGAUCGUAAAACUCUUUUAUUAGGGAAGAACAAAUGUGUAAGAAACUAUGCACGUCUUGACGGUACCUAAUGAGAAAGCCACGGCUAACUACGUG
Molecule: ribosomal RNA, 497 nt
Filed under: uncultured bacterium
Lineage: Bacteria
Description: partial 16S ribosomal RNA
Rfam family: Bacterial small subunit ribosomal RNA
Source: RNAcentral